This is a long non-coding RNA of Archocentrus centrarchus (flier cichlid), 1105 nucleotides long. RefSeq lists it as uncharacterized. The record is from RefSeq and is a predicted model, not a curated record. Lineage: Eukaryota; Metazoa; Chordata; Actinopteri; Cichliformes; Cichlidae. The transcript has 3 exons.
GGUCGGUCCAGGGUCUCUGUGGUCGUCGCUGUCAUCUCCUUCAUAUCUGUUGUAGCUGUCGCUGCUCUGGUCAUAUUUCUCUCACCGCCUUCAUCUGAAACAAACUAAGCAUCCAGACUCACAAAGCCAACCAGAACUGCUCAAAGAAGUGGUGAUAUUCAUGCUGCAUGGAGCUCACAGCCACUUUCUCUGACACAGGAGACACAAGAUGCUCAGGUUGCUCUGGCAGCUCAGGAUGCUACAAUAGUGAUUGUCAAACAAUCCAGCUCUAAGAGUCGGCUCUCUGUAAAGAGCCUGAAUUCCCAUCACUAUGCUGCAGUGAUUUAGGUCACUGAGGUCACGGUCAGACCCCAUGAAUGAGUUAGUCAGUGACUUCAGUAGAGGCCUCGCUGGACUCAGAGGCACAACGCUCCGUUUUCAUACAGAACGAUUCAGAAACAGAUCUCUGAAACAAGAAUACACAACCUCAUUGUUGGUUGAAUCAAAACAUAAAAAUCACACCAGGCUGCUGCCAAGAAGAGAAUGAUGAGAAUGAUGACCUAGUGGGAGCGGGUCCUUCCAACACCACAUGAAUCCCUCCAGAGAGCAGCUCGUAUUCCAGAGCGAGCCACGCCUCCCACCUUCCAGUUUUUCUCAUAAAGCUGUAGCUCCCGCUGCUAUCAACUGUUGGAGGAUCUGUUUGGAAAGCAUCGUCCACUGGAACCGAUGAUUCAUUAAAGCUGUUUGGAGGGAUUUAAAGGACCUGGCUGUAGGAGCGCAGACCCCUGGGACCACAUUCAAUGAGCUCUGAUUGUUUUUGUUCUCUCAUUAAUGUCACUGAGAAACUGAGCUAGAAGCAGAUUACAUGAGUACCUCGUGUGUUUAUGAACUGCUGCACUUUGCUCCAGCUCAUGAAAGAAAAACUGGAAUUUUGUCUUUGUGUCAUUUACAGCUGCAAACAUGCAGACUGACAGAAAUCCUCCUGACUUUAGUUUUUGCUGCAGCUAGCAGAUAUAACUGAUGGCAUUCUUGUUUUGUUUAAUGUAUUUAAUUGUUUUAUUUAUUUAUUUAUGCCUGUUCUGUCAGACGUUCUGUUGUUGCAUUAAAUGAAAGUUCUGUUUUUGUA